AGCUCCAUAAACUUGCUGAUCUUGUAAAUUAUGUUUGAUCCAAUCCAGAAGACGUGGCCACUGCUCUGGGUAGUCAGCAUGGAUAAUUGUCUUGAGGCACUCGCCCAACUGUACCCUUAAUAAAGGAGGAACCUGCACAAGAAAAACAAGGAUGUGAUCCCUCACCAUAUCCUUAUCACUUUGGGAUAUCUUUGAUUGCUCAUCAGGUUCAUGAGGUGCCCAGUUCUUUGCAAUGAAGUUCUUGAAAUGAAUACUAGCA
RNAcentral lists this unclassified non-coding RNA (259 nucleotides) under Hevea brasiliensis (rubber tree). The record is from RNAcentral. Lineage: Eukaryota; Viridiplantae; Streptophyta; Magnoliopsida; Malpighiales; Euphorbiaceae.